AUCGAACGCUGGCGGCAGGCCUAACACAUGCAAGUCGAGCGAGCGGCGGACGGGUGAGUAAUGUAUGGGGACUGCCCGAUAGCGGGGGAUAACUACUGGAAACGGUAGCUAAUACCGCAUACUAUCGGAUAACCCAUAUGGGAUUAGCUAGUUGGUGAGGUAAUGGCUCACCAAGGCGACGAUCCCUAGCUGGUCUGAGAGGAUGAUCGGCCACACUGGGACUGAGACACGGCCCAGACGCCUACGGAGGCAGCAGUGGGGAAGAUUGCGCAAUGGGCGCAAGCCUGAUGGAGCCAUGCCGCGUGUAUGAAGAAGGCCCUAGGGUUGUAAAGUGCUUUCAGUCGGGAGGCGUUACCGACAGAGGAAGCACCGGCUAACUCCGUGCCAGCAGCCGCGGUAAUUC
This 403-nucleotide ribosomal RNA is filed under the name uncultured bacterium. RNAcentral's name for it is "partial 16S ribosomal RNA". It matches the Rfam family "Bacterial small subunit ribosomal RNA", at positions 30 to 526 of the family's 1533-position model. The record is from RNAcentral.